GGGGAUAUAGCUCAGAGGUAGAGCGCAUGCCCAGCACGCAUGAAGUCCUGGGCUCAAUCCCUAGUACCUCCA
This 72-nucleotide transfer RNA is filed under the name Camelus bactrianus (Bactrian camel). It matches the Rfam family "tRNA". Rfam says of the family: Transfer RNA (tRNA) molecules are approximately 80 nucleotides in length. Their secondary structure includes four short double-helical elements and three loops (D, anti-codon, and T loops). Further hydrogen bonds mediate the characteristic L-shaped molecular structure. tRNAs have two regions of fundamental functional importance: the anti-codon, which is responsible for specific mRNA codon recognition, and the 3' end, to which the tRNAs corresponding amino acid is attached (by aminoacyl-tRNA synthetases). tRNAs cope with the degeneracy of the genetic code in two manners: having more than one tRNA (with a specific anti-codon) for a particular amino acid; and 'wobble' base-pairing, i.e. permitting non-standard base-pairing at the 3rd anti-codon position. RNAcentral also lists the same sequence under 2 other names. The record is from Rfam by way of RNAcentral. Lineage: Eukaryota; Metazoa; Chordata; Mammalia; Artiodactyla; Camelidae.